RNA transcript from Panicum virgatum (switchgrass), 2690 nucleotides. It is a transcript of the gene named 18.9 kDa heat shock protein-like, with no coding region annotated. The transcript is spliced from 6 exons. NCBI's taxonomy places the organism in Eukaryota, Viridiplantae, Streptophyta, Magnoliopsida, Poales, Poaceae. The record is from RefSeq and is a predicted model, not a curated record.
CGGAGUCUUUUUUUAGCAGCAGCAUCUUCGAAGUGUUCUUUAUCCUAGCUAGUGUUCUAGCAACCUGCUUCAUCCUGCCUUGAAUCUCUGUACCGUGACAAGAACACCUUCAACCUUCUCUCAGCUUCAUUUGUGUUCCUCAGAGUGUUUCCUGAAUUUUUUUUUCAGAUUUUUCCUCACUAUCUUAAUUGCCAGAACAGUGCGCCGGGAUCUAACAGUUCAAUAUAUAUUUAGGGUCCUGACUCCAGAUGUAUUAUCCUGGUUUGGUGGAAUAAUCAUCCAGUCACAAGUUAUAACAGCAAGAUUUGUUGAAGGCACUAUUCAAUCCGUGGGAAACAACGCGACAAAAAAAAACAGGAUGUUUGCUAUCAUCUGAAAAGUGUUUGGUGUGCUCAUAAAAUAGAGCAAAUAUGGACGAUGAGCCUGGCAGACAUAAUAAGCAGGAGAGCAUAUUACACAGUCAACGUUUGAAUCUACAAGGUCUUUCAUUAAAAUAUUUGAGAGAGAUCACAAAUGAUUUCUCUGAUGAGCGGCUACUUGGACAAGGUGGUUUUGGUAGGGUGUAUAAGGGAGUUCUAGCAAAUGGGGAUACCAUUGCUGUGAAGAAGCUUACAUGGACAAUGUCAGGACUUCAGGAUAAGCAAUAUGAGAACGAAGCCCGUCAUCUCAUGAGGCUUAAACAUCAAAACAUAGUGCAACUUGUAGGAUACUGUUCUGAAACAGAGAAGGAACUUGUACUGCACAACGGGAAAUACGUUUAUGCUGAGAAGUCAGAAAGGUUGCUUUGCUUGGAGUACCUGCCUAAUGGAAGCCUUUGCAAGCAUCUUUCCGAUGCAUCUUCUGGACUUGAUUGGGAUACACGCUACAAAAUUAUUAGGGGUAUUUGCUAUGGUUUACAUUAUCUUCAUGAGGAGUGGCAAGCUAGUACCCCUAUUAUUCAUAGGGAUCUUAAACCUGCAAACAUAUUGCUUGACGAUGAUAUGGUGCCAAAAAUUGCUGACUUUGGUUUGUCGAGGCUCUUCGGUGAGCUACAAACUCGAACCAUCACAAAAAAUCAGUAUGGAACACUGGGUUACAUGUCACCGGAAUACUUAAACAGAGGCAUAAUCACAAAGAAGUUAGAUAUAUUCAGUUUGGGCGUAAUAAUCAUAGAGAUAGCUACAGGAGACAAGCACUACCCUGAUAAUGUUGAAACAUCAUCCGAGGAAUUCAUUGGGCUUGUAAGUAAACUAUGUUUCGACUUUUGGAAAAGGGGAUGUCCCCUUUUCCAAAGAUAUGCUAUUAAUAAUUUUCCCUCUGCAUACCACCUCGAAAAAAAAUCUCUCUGGAAAACUUUUCCUAGAAUGUUUCUAACAUUAUAGGUUUGUGUUCUGGCUUCAAGGUUCUUACAAAAUGGAAAAUUAGGGUCUAAAAAGUACAAGGGUAUACAUCCCGAGAAUUUGAUUGCCAACAAAUAAGAAGGUGCAUUGAGAUUGGUCUACUCUGCGUGAAAAUUGAUCGGGCGGAAAGGCCAGCAACACGACAAAUUAUAGAGAUGCUCACAGAGGGUGGUGCAGAAUGCAGCAGCAAGAGGGAGGGAAUUAAGUUUACCAAACAAGCGGAGGAGACCGGUGGUCCGUCGGGGAAGAGCCAAGUGCAGGCGGGGAAGAGCCAAGCGCAGGCGGUGGGAGAGGAGGGGUCGCUGUCCGUGUACGCUCGCGGCGCAAGCGAGUACCAUGAUCGACGGGGCGCCGCGCGGGAGUACGUGGACUUCGACCCUGUCGUGGAGUGGAAGCUGCCCGGCGAGGACCAGGACGUGGUGGAGAUCUCGCUGCCGGGGUUCCGCAAGGACCAGGUGAGGGUGCAGGUGGACAACCACGGCGUGCUCCGCGCCACCGGCGAGCGCUCGGCGAGGGGUGGCCGAUGGGCGCGGUUCAAGAAGGACCUCCUCCUCCCCGACAACUGCGACGCCGACGGCAUCCGCGCCAAGUUCGAGGGCGAGAAGCUCAUCAUCACGCUCCCCGUCGUCCCCGCGGCCCCGACGCCGUCUCCUACGGAGCCCGAGACGCCGCCGUCUCCUUUGCCACAUGGGACGCCAGCUGCUGUUCCCGGGCAAAUGAAACCUCCCUUGCAGGAGAGAGCAAUCGCUGUGUCACCCUCUUCUCCGGCACCUCUGCCUCCUCGUCACGCAGAGGAAGCGCGGAAGAAGCAACUGCAAGAUGCUACUUCUCCGGCAGCCCUGCCUCCUCGUCUGUCUACCGGAGGAGAAGAAGAAGAGCAAGAAACAAACGGUGAAGGGGACGGAGGAGACGGGUAGUCCGUCGGGGAAGCAAAUAAAAAAAAAAAUGGUGGGGUCCAUAGUUGGCCGUUUAAAUAGAGGGCCACUAAAUUGGAGGGUGGGGGGGAUUUGGAAGACCUACCAAAAUGACAGCCCAUUUGAAAAGUCUGUUGGAGAUCAAUUUUUUACACCCAUUGAGUAAAUAUGGAGAUAGCAGCCCAUUUAGGCACCCCACUGGAGUUGCUUAUAGUCAGUUUGGUUGGCUUCCAAUUUUUACCUAACCAAAAUGUAUGCAUGCCUAUAAAGUUUGGCUUAUCAAUGGGUUCAUGUCUAAAAAUUAGCACUUCAAUAUUUAUGGCCAAAACCAUGACAAUUUACUAAAAAGUUCUUGAACCUUUUUAGGGGAAAAUAAAUUUGCUGCCAUAUUUUGAUA